CAAGAUUGUGUUCGAUAUACUCACAGCACAAGCAGACUUGCUAUCCAGCCUUUUGAAAUCCGGAAAGAAAAAUCUGCCAUCAUCUGUUUGUGCACUUGUCCUGAGAAAUGUUGGGCCUGGUCUUAAAAUCCUCGGUAGUUUGAGGCAUUCAAAUGCUAUAUUAAAGAAGACGGUAAACCUCCUGCUUGAGGUGCUGCUUCUGGUUGUGGGUUCUGGUUCAGACAGCUCAAACUCAAGUGAGAUGGGACAUAUGGCAGCCAGAGAUCUUGCAGAAAUAUCUGAUGCGACAAUUGGAUUAUUACCCCUUCUCUGCAACUUCAUGGGGAAUCCCGAGUACUUGACUCUCUGCCUGACCACGGUAGACUUGAUUCUCAGAGAUUUUUUGACGCCAGAGACAUGGUUCCCAAUUAUACAGAGUCAUCUCCGCUUGCAGCAUGUUAUACUGCAGCUUCAGGAUAAGAAAUCCUCGGCAUCCGUUUCAGCAAUAAUGAAGUUUUUCUUAACUAUUGCUCAAGUUCAUGACGGUGCUCAGAUGCUUCUCAAUUCCGGAUUUUUCUCGACUCUAAGAGCUUUGUUCAUUGACUUGCCAGAUGGAAUAUCUACUUUGGUAUCUGACGAUGAAAAGGGCGGGCAGCUAGAUAAGAAAGAAAAACCGCAGCAUAUGUGGGGACUCGGUUUGGCUGUGGUUACGGCGAUGGUUAAUUCUCUAGGAUCCGUUUCUGUGGGUGCGGAUAUCGUGGAGAGUGUAAUAUCUUACUUUUUCUCAGAGAAAGGUUACAUGAUCUCUUAUUAUCUGUCUGCGCCUGAUUUCCCUUCUGAUGAUCGUGAAAAAGUGAGAGCAAGAACUCAACGGACAUGGACAUCCCUUGCUUAUCUGAGAGAAACCGAGCAUACUCUCCUUCUGAUGUGUGCAUUAGCAAGCCAUUGGAGAUCAUGGGUUAAGAUUAUGAAGGAGAUGGAUUCUCCAUUAAGAGAAAUGGCUAUACAUCUCUUGGCCUUUAUCAGCAAAGGCGCUCAACGCCUGAGAGAGUCUCAUAUCAUAACAUCUCAUCUGUUAUGCCCUCCAGUAGUGAAAGAAGAGUUUGAUUCCUGCAAAAGACAGUCGGUAAUCAACAGCAAACACGGAUGGUUUGCUCUAGUACCGUUAGUUUGUGUCGGGAAACCCAAGCUCGGUGCUGUAUCAAUCUCGACUGCUCUAGUUGUUAGGGGCCAAACGACAGAGCAACCUGGAUCUGUUCCUCAGUCACACUUUACAGACUCGGUUGCGGUACAGAUUUAUAGAGUGGCUUCUCUCUUGUUGAAUUUUCUAUGCUUACAAGCAGAAGGUGUUGUUAAACGGGCAGAGGAAGUGGGAUAUGUAGAUCUUGCUCAUUUCCCUGAGCUUCCAGAGCCGGAGAUUUUGCACGGUCUACAGGUAUGAUAACUCAGAGGACAAGCACGGUGUUUUUGUUUUUACCCUUGUUUUAACCCUUUUUUUCUACUAGUACUACAAUAUUGUAUUUUGAAAUGCAGGACCAAGCCACAGCGAUUGUCGCUGAGCUUUGUGAUAAUUACAAAGAGGUUCCUAAUGAAGUCAAGAAGCUGUGCCUCCUGUUGCUCCAAAUAACAGAGAAGUCGUUAUAUUUGGAACUCUGUGUAGUUCAGGUUUGCAGGAUCCAUCAAGUCUUUGGCCGGGUGGAUAACUUCUCAAAAGACUUCAAAAAGCUAGUGAAAGGUAACAAUCAAUUGAUUUUAGGAAAUGCACGAUCAAUUUAGUAGCAAGGUGUAGAAAAAUGGUUGGUGUUUUUUUAACAUAUGCUUAUUUCUAAUGAGCAGCUGCAGAAGCGCAUGCGUACUUGGAACCGUCUAUGGAUUCACUGAAGAAAAUAGCUGUGUUUCUGUAUCCUGGAUUGCUAUAGGUACGAGAUUUUUUUUUAACAUGGAGACUUGUUUGUUCUUCAGUGUGACUGUAUUAUUGAAUCAUUGACCAUAUAUAUGUAAGUCAACAUAUUAGAUGCUAUGCACGUAUAAACUUUAAUGUUGGGCUCAUGCCGACCACUCAUUUUGGGCCGUUCGUCAUGCAUUCAUUUUUUAUUCGCUUUUACCUCUCAACAAAUGCUUUUGAUUGGUUCUCUCAUUAUAGACCGCAGAAAGUGCACUUCCGAAUAAACCUCUCUUCUUUUUCUAUAUGCUCAACUUUAGAUAAAUCAUUGUUCUCCAUCUUUCUGGUUUUAAACCUUAAAAUCCUCGGUAGUUUGAGGCAUUCAAAUGCUAUAUUAAAGAAGACGGUAAACCUCCUGCUUGAGGUGCUGCUUCUGGUUGUGGGUUCUGGUUCAGACAGCUCAAACUCAAGUGAGAUGG
Molecule: long non-coding RNA, 2340 nt
Filed under: Brassica napus (rape)
Lineage: Eukaryota; Viridiplantae; Streptophyta; Magnoliopsida; Brassicales; Brassicaceae
Description: long non-coding RNA (BNAP_LNC005670)
Source: RNAcentral